GAUCACGUAGAAAUUCGGCGUGACGAUGAAUUGCGGUCCAUGGGUCCCCGCCGGGACGAGCAUCAUGCCUGCGGCGGCACGUUCUGCUGCCGGGAAGGCCU
Molecule: small RNA, 101 nt
Filed under: Sinorhizobium meliloti 2011
Lineage: Bacteria; Pseudomonadati; Pseudomonadota; Alphaproteobacteria; Hyphomicrobiales; Rhizobiaceae
Description: putative ncRNA
Source: RNAcentral